This 253-nucleotide ribosomal RNA is filed under the name uncultured bacterium. Its description in RNAcentral is "partial 16S ribosomal RNA". It matches the Rfam family "Bacterial small subunit ribosomal RNA", at positions 524 to 776 of the family's 1533-position model. The record is from RNAcentral.
UACGUAGGGUGCAAGCGUUAAUCGGAAUUACUGGGCGUAAAGCGUGCGCAGGCGGUUUUGUAAGUCUGACGUGAAAUCCCCGGGCUUAACCUGGGAAUGGCGUCGGAGACUGCAAGGCUGGAAUCUGGCAGAGGGGGGUAGAAUUCCACGUGUAGCAGUGAAAUGCGUAGAGAUGUGGAGGAACACCGAUGGCGAAGGCAGCCCCCUGGGCUAAGAUUGACGCUCAUGCACGAAAGCGUGGGGAGCAAACAGG